AGAGUUUGAUCAUGGCUCAGAUUGAACGCUGGCGGCAUGCUUUACACAUGCAAGUCGAACGGCAGCAUGGGCUUCGGCCUGAUGGCGAGUGGCGAACGGGUGAGUAAUGCAUCGGAACGUGCCCAGACGUGGGGGGAUAGCUCGGCGAAAGCCGGAUUAAUACCGCAUACGCCCUGAGGGGGAAAGCGGGGGACCGCAAGGCCUCGCGCGAUUGGAGCGGCCGAUGUCGGAUUAGCUAGUUGGUGGGGUAAAGGCCUACCAAGGCGACGAUCCGUAGCUGGUCUGAGAGGAUGAUCAGCCACACUGGGACUGAGACACGGCCCAGACUCCUACGGGAGGCAGCAGUGGGGAAUUUUGGACAAUGGGGGCAACCCUGAUCCAGCCAUGCCGCGUGCGGGAAGAAGGCCUUCGGGUUGUAAACCGCUUUCGGACGGAAAGAAAUCGCCAUCUCUAACAUAGGUGGUGGAUGACGGUACCGUAAGAAGAAGCACCGGCUAACUACGUGCCAGCAGCCGCGGUAAUACGUAGGGUGCGAGCGUUAAUCGGAAUUACUGGGCGUAAAGCGUGCGCAGGCGGUUUCUUAAGCAAGAUGUGAAAUCCCCGGGCUUAACCUGGGAACUGCAUUUUGAACUGGGAGACUAGAGUGCGUCAGAGGGGGGUGGAAUUCCACGUGUAGCAGUGAAAUGCGUAGAGAUGUGGAGGAACACCGAUGGCGAAGGCAGCCCCCUGGGAUGACACUGACGCUCAUGCACGAAAGCGUGGGGAGCAAACAGGAUUAGAUACCCUAGUAGUCC
This 794-nucleotide ribosomal RNA is filed under the name uncultured bacterium. RNAcentral's name for it is "bacterial SSU rRNA". It matches the Rfam family "Bacterial small subunit ribosomal RNA", at positions 8 to 796 of the family's 1533-position model. The record is from RNAcentral.